This 159-nucleotide unclassified non-coding RNA is filed under the name Hodophilus micaceus. RNAcentral's name for it is "internal transcribe spacer 1". Lineage: Eukaryota; Fungi; Basidiomycota; Agaricomycetes; Agaricales; Clavariaceae. The record is from RNAcentral.
AUGAUUCUCAAAGGAUGUGCUGRCAAUUUAUAAUUGUAUGUGCACUCUGACUCUCAUUCACCUGUGCACAUUCUGUAGACAAUGGAUAGUAAUGCUAUUUUAUUGUCUAUGAUUUUAUACACUCUAUUAAAUAAAAUUGGAUGUUUUAUAAAAUUAAUA